This 586-nucleotide ribosomal RNA is filed under the name uncultured bacterium. RNAcentral's name for it is "bacterial SSU rRNA". It matches the Rfam family "Bacterial small subunit ribosomal RNA", at positions 326 to 915 of the family's 1533-position model. The record is from RNAcentral.
ACGGACCAGACUCCUACGGGAGGCAGCAGUGAGGAAUAUUGGACAAUGGGCGUAAGCCUGACCCAGCCAUGCCGCGUGCAGGAAGAAGGCGUUAUGCGUUGUAAACUGCUUUUUUAUAGGAAGAAGGAUCCCUUGCGAGGGAAGGUGACGGUACUAUAAGAAUAAGCACCGGCUAACUCCGUGCCAGCAGCCGCGGUAAUACGGAGGGUGCAAGCGUUGUCCGGAUUUAUUGGGUUUAAAGGGUGCGUAGGCGGUUUAUUAAGUCAGUGGUGAAAGACGGUCGCUCAACGAUUGCAGUGCCAUUGAUACUGGUAGACUUGAGUGAGAUUGAGGUAGCUGGAAUGGAUAGUGUAGCGGUGAAAUGCAUAGAUAUUAUCCAGAACACCGAUUGCGAAGGCAGGUUACUAAGUCUUAACUGACGCUGAGGCACGAAAGUGUGGGGAUCAAACAGGAUUAGAUACCCUGGUAGUCCACACUGUAAACGAUGAUGACUAACUGUUGGCUUUCGGGUCAGUGGUACAGAGAAAUCGUUAAGUCAUCCACCUGGGGAGUACGCCGGCAACGGUGAAACUCAAAGGAAUUGACG